UAAAAGGGCUUCUGCUGUACUGGCACAGAAGUGGGGGGAUGACUUCCACUUCUGCGGAAUCGCAAUCAAGAGAUUUCGGAAGCAUAAUUUUUAACACCGGGGAAGCUGAUGAUCGCUAGUCUCAGCGCCCCA
Molecule: small nuclear RNA, 132 nt
Organism: Gouania willdenowi (blunt-snouted clingfish)
Lineage: Eukaryota; Metazoa; Chordata; Actinopteri; Blenniiformes; Gobiesocidae
Product: U11 spliceosomal RNA
Source: Ensembl